This 484-nucleotide ribosomal RNA is filed under the name uncultured bacterium. Its description in RNAcentral is "partial 16S ribosomal RNA". It matches the Rfam family "Bacterial small subunit ribosomal RNA", at positions 30 to 507 of the family's 1533-position model. The record is from RNAcentral.
AUUGAACGCUGGCGGCAGGCCUAACACAUGCAAGUCGAGCGGAUGAAGGGAGCUUGCUCCUGGAUUCAGCGGCGGACGGGUGAGUAAUGCCUAGGAAUCUGCCUGGUAGUGGGGGAUAACGUCCGGAGACGGGCGCUAAUACCGCAUACGUCCUGAGGGAGAAAGUGGGGGAUCUUCGGACCUCACGCUAUCAGAUGAGCCUAGGUCGGAUUAGCUAGUUGGUGGGGUAAAGGCCUACCAAGGCGACGAUCCGUAACUGGUCUGAGAGGAUGAUCAGUCACACUGGAACUGAGACACGGUCCAGACUCCUACGGGAGGCAGCAGUGGGGAAUAUUGGACAAUGGGCGAAAGCCUGAUCCAGCCAUGCCGCGUGUGUGAAGAAGGUCUUCGGAUUGUAAAGCACUUUAAGUUGGGAGGAAGGGCAGUAAGUUAAUACCUUGCUGCUUUGACGUUACCAACAGAAUAAGCACCGGCUAACUUCGUG